This 520-nucleotide ribosomal RNA is filed under the name uncultured Glomeromycotina. RNAcentral's name for it is "SSU rRNA". It matches the Rfam family "Eukaryotic small subunit ribosomal RNA", at positions 569 to 1091 of the family's 1831-position model. The record is from RNAcentral. Lineage: Eukaryota; Fungi; Glomeromycota.
AGCAGCCGCGGUAAUUCCAGCUCCAAUAGCGUAUAUUAAGUUGUUGCAGUUAAAAAGCUCGUAGUUGAAUUUCGGGAUUAGUACGCUGGUCAUGCCUUUGGUAUGUACUGGUGUUACUGGUUCCUACCUUCUGAAGAACCGUCAUGUCAUUAAUUUGGUGUGGCGGGGAAUCAGGACUGUUACUUUGAAAAAAUUAGAGUGUUUAAAGCAGGCUCGCGCUUGAAUACAUUAGCAUGGAAUAAUGAAAUAGGACGUUCGACCCUAUUUUGUUGGUUUCUAGGAUCGACGUAAUGAUUAAUAGGGAUAGUUGGGGGCAUUAGUAUUCAAUUGUCAGAGGUGAAAUUCUUGGAUUUAUUGAAGACUAACUACUGCGAAAGCAUUUGCCAAGGAUGUUUUCAUUAAUCAAGAACGAAAGUUAGGGGAUCGAAGACGAUCAGAUACCGUCGUAGUCUUAACCAUAAACUAUGCCGACUAGGGAUCGGAUGAUGUUAUUUUUUAAUGUACUCAUUCGGCGCCUUAC